AAAAACCCAAAAUGUUUCUCUAUUUUGUCUCAGGAUAAUUAUACUGCCAAUUUUUUUGUUGACUCCAUCUUUGUACCCCUCCAGAAACAACAGUUCUAAAGCCAGAGGAGGUGGAUGUACCCCCACAGAAUGCCUUUAGAAGUGACUUCUCUCCAAAAGAGUAUUGUCUGGGGGUAUGCUGAGAACAUCAGGACUCUACAUAAUGGAAAAAGAAAAGAACUCUCUAAUGAACACUUACUAUGAGGAGUCUUCAGAAAGUUCAGAGAGAGUGGUUGUUAUGGGAUGGACAUUUGGCACAAAAGGUAAAACACAACUUGGGACUCUGCAUUUGAUAUCAGAUUGUUUUGGUGCAAGUUAUGAUUCCACUUAAGAGUCCAAGUUCCUGCUAAAGCAG
This 394-nucleotide long non-coding RNA is filed under the name Oryctolagus cuniculus (rabbit). RNAcentral's name for it is "lncRNA (ENSOCUG00000035873.1)". Lineage: Eukaryota; Metazoa; Chordata; Mammalia; Lagomorpha; Leporidae. The record is from RNAcentral.